UGGGGAAUAUUGCACAAUGGGCGCAAGCCUGAUGCAGCCAUGCCGCGUGUAUGAAGAAGGCCUUCGGGUUGUAAAGUACUUUCAGCGGGGAGGAAGGCGAUAAGGUUAAUAACCUUGUCGAUUGACGUUACCCGCAGAAGAAGCACCGGCUAACUACGUGCCAGCAGCCGCGGUAAUACGGAGGGUGCAAGCGUUAAUCGGAAUUACUGGGCGUAAAGCGCACGCAGGCGGUCUGUCAAGUCGGAUGUGAAAUCCCCGGGCUCAACCUGGGAACUGCAUUCGAAACUGGCAGGCUAGAGUCUUGUAGAGGGGGGUAGAAUUCCAGGUGUAGCGGUGAAAUGCGUAGAGAUCUGGAGGAAUACCGGUGGCGAAGGCGGCCCCCUGGACAAAGACUGACGCUCAGGUGCGAAAGCGUGGGGAGCAAACA
RNAcentral lists this ribosomal RNA (427 nucleotides) under uncultured bacterium. RNAcentral's name for it is "partial 16S ribosomal RNA". It matches the Rfam family "Bacterial small subunit ribosomal RNA", at positions 355 to 774 of the family's 1533-position model. The record is from RNAcentral.